RNAcentral lists this ribosomal RNA (397 nucleotides) under uncultured bacterium. RNAcentral's name for it is "partial 16S ribosomal RNA". It matches the Rfam family "Bacterial small subunit ribosomal RNA", at positions 523 to 918 of the family's 1533-position model. The record is from RNAcentral.
CUACGAAGGGCGAAAGCGUUACUCGGAAUUACUGGGCGUAAAGCGUGCGUAGGUGGUUGUUUAAGUCUGUCGUGAAAGCCCUGGGCUCAACCUGGGAAUGGCGAUGGAAACUGGGCGACUAGAGUGUGGCAGAGGGUAGGGGAAUUCCUGGUGUAGCAGUGAAAUGCGUAGAGAUCAGGAGGAACAUCCGUGGCGAAGGCGACUGCCUGGGCCAACACUGACACUGAGGCACGAAAGCGUGGGGAGCAAACAGGAUUAGAUACCCUGGUAGUCCACGCCCUAAACGAUGCGAACUGGAUGUUGGGUGCAAUUUGGCACGCAGUAUCGAAGCUAACGCGUUAAGUUCGCCGCCUGGGGAGUACGGUCGCAAGACUGAAACUCAAAUGAAUUGACGGGG